This 674-nucleotide transfer RNA is filed under the name uncultured cyanobacterium. RNAcentral describes it as "partial miscellaneous RNA". The stretch from base 164 to 237 matches the Rfam family "tRNA". The record is from RNAcentral. Lineage: Bacteria; Bacillati; Cyanobacteriota.
CAGGGAGACAAAAACUGAUCUUGAUGUCUCAGGACUUCUUUUCUUGGGCCAAGAUCCUGUCACCUUAGGUCGAUCGGUACCUCAGAUUAGAUACCAAAAACUUUUUUUGGACUAAUUUCUGUUCCUAAACUUGUCUAGGUCACACCCCGCAAGGGUUACUCCUGGGCCAUUAGCUCAGGUGGUUAGAGCGCACCCCUGAUAAGGGUGAGGUCCCUGGUUCAAGUCCAGGAUGGCCCAUUCGGUGUUGAGGGUAUAGCUCGGUUGGUAGAGCGCCUGCUUUGCAAGCAGGAUGUCAGCGGUUCGAGUCCGCUUACCUCCACUGACCGACCCCUUUCAGCAAUUAAGUUGAGAGCUUUUGUGUGAUGUGAUCUAUUCUGUAAUCCGCUGAUGGAACCUAGCUUCCUUUCAUUCCAACUUUUAAAAGUAAAGGUUGAAAGGAUGCUGGGCUCAUAUCAAUUUACUUGUUAAGUUGAUAAGUAGUUCAGCAGAACCUUGACAACUGCAUAGUGAGUCUGGAAAAGAAAGAAAGCAUCUCAUAGAUGUAUGGUUUUCUUGAUUUCUUUUGUUUUGCAAAAAAAUCUAGAAACUAUAUAUUUUUUUAUUGAGUAAGAGCCAAGAAUCUAUAGUUUUAAAAUCUAUUUUAAAAGGAUUUUAAGCGAUAGGUUUUUUAUUUU